Molecule: ribosomal RNA, 497 nt
Filed under: uncultured bacterium
Lineage: Bacteria
Description: partial 16S ribosomal RNA
Rfam family: Bacterial small subunit ribosomal RNA
Source: RNAcentral
GAUGAACGCUGGCGGCGUGCCUAAUACAUGCAAGUCGAGCGAACAGAUGAGGAGCUUGCUCCUCUGACGUUAGCGGCGGACGGGUGAGUAACACGUGGAUAACCUACCUAUAAGACUGGGAUAACUUCGGGAAACCGGAGCUAAUACCGGAUAAUAUAUUGAACCGCAUGGUUCAAUAGUGAAAGACGGUUUUGCUGUCACUUAUAGAUGGAUCCGCGCCGCAUUAGCUAGUUGGUAAGGUAACGGCUUACCAAGGCAACGAUGCGUAGCCGACCUGAGAGGGUGAUCUGCCACACUGGAACUGAGACACGGUCCAGAAUCCUACGGGAGGCAGCAGUAGGGAAUCUUCCGCAAUGGGCGAAAGCCUGACGGAGCAACGCCGCGUGAGUGAUGAAGGUCUUCGGAUCGUAAAACUCUGUUAUUAGGGAAGAACAAAUGUGUAAGUAACUAUGCACGUCUUGACGGUACCUAAUCAGAAAGCCACGGCUAACUACGUG